Molecule: ribosomal RNA, 468 nt
Filed under: uncultured bacterium
Lineage: Bacteria
Description: partial 16S ribosomal RNA
Rfam family: Bacterial small subunit ribosomal RNA
Source: RNAcentral
GACGAACGCUGGCGGCGUGCUUAACACAUGCAAGUCGAACGGAAAGGCCCUGCUUUUGUGGGGUGCUCGAGUGGCGAACGGGUGAGUAACACGUGAGUAACCUGCCCUUGACUUUGGGAUAACUUCAGGAAACUGGGGCUAAUACCGGAUAGGAUCUCCUGCUGCAUGGUGGGGGUUGGAAAGUUUCGGCGGUUGUGGAUGGACUCGCGGCUUAUCAGCUUGUUGGUGUGGUAGUGGCUUACCAAGGCUUUGACGGGUAGCCGGCCUGAGAGGGUGGCCGGCCACCUUGGGACUGCGGUACGCCCCAGAAUCCAACGGGAGGCAGCAGUGGGGAGUAUUGCACAGUGGGCGGAAGCCUGAUGCAGCAACGCCGCGUGCGGGAUACCGGCCUUCGGGUUGUAAACCGCUUUCGCCUGUGACGAAGCGUGAGUGACGGUAAUGGGUAAAGAAGCACCGGCUAACUACGUG